Molecule: non-coding RNA, 31 nt
Filed under: Mus musculus (house mouse)
Lineage: Eukaryota; Metazoa; Chordata; Mammalia; Rodentia; Muridae
Source: RNAcentral
UAAGAUGCUACUUGCCUAUUUUGGAUUAACU